AUGGAUGAAAUUUGUGAUGAUGAUAAGGUGGAUGAAAUGCUUGACCAUAUUGCUAACAAAGGUCAGAAUGUAGUGAACUUGAAAGUGGUUAGGGGCACUGAUCCAAGACCUGUAGAUUUGAACUCAGGCUAUCUGUAUGAGGAGCAUAUUCCUUUGAGCCAAUUAGGAGAGAAGCCUGUGUAUGUAGUAAAUCCUUCUGGUUUUCUCUUAAGAUCACCACCAAAAAGAAAUAUACAGAGUCAGCCAGAGCCACUGCAGUUCUACCCCACACAGCAGAACACAAACCAUGAUAUGGAUACAGAUGUUGCCAUGGAUCAACGCAAUGCAGCAGAUCGGGAUGCAUUGGCGACAUUAAUGGAGGUGAAGAGGAGAACAAAGAUUGCCAAAUUUAGGAAACAUAAGAUUGCAGUUGAGCAUGUAAAUAAGGUUAAGCAGAAGCUACCAAUUCUUCUAACUGAAGAUGAUUCAGAUCUGGAUGCAGAUGAGGACUAUCUUCAGAGGCUUAAUGAGAUGAGGAGGCACAGAGAGGAUCCACUCAUUCAUUUUGAUGGAGACACUAAUCUGGAUGAAGUGUAUGAGGAAGACGAGGAAGGGCAGCAUGUGGAGGUGGAGCAAGAGGAGCAGGUGCAGCAAGAGGAGCAGGUGGAGCCUACAAAGAAGAAGAAAGCUAGAAAAGGGCCAACACAGAGGAAUAUGAUGAUGGAGCUGAGGAACUACAGUAUGUUCUGCCCAAUGGAAGGAAGAGCAUAUCAGUGA
This 756-nucleotide ribosomal RNA is filed under the name Triticum aestivum (bread wheat). RNAcentral's name for it is "partial small subunit ribosomal RNA". The record is from RNAcentral. Lineage: Eukaryota; Viridiplantae; Streptophyta; Magnoliopsida; Poales; Poaceae.